RNAcentral lists this ribosomal RNA (91 nucleotides) under Leptospiraceae bacterium. Lineage: Bacteria; Pseudomonadati; Spirochaetota; Leptospiria; Leptospirales; Leptospiraceae. The record is from RNAcentral.
GCUGGCGCCAAUAGAGAGGGUGUUACACCUGUUCCCAUUCCGAACACAGAAGUUAAGCCCCUCAUCGCCGAUGGUACUGCAGGGUUCGCUC